UGGGGAAUAUUGCACAAUGGGGGAAACCCUGAUGCAGCGACGCCGCGUGAGCGAAGAAGGUUUUCGAAUCGUAAAGCUCUGUCCUAUGGGAAGAUAAUGACGGUACCAUAGGAGGAAGCCCCGGCUAACUACGUGCCAGCAGCCGCGGUAAUACGUAGGGGGCAAGCGUUGUCCGGAAUCACUGGGCGUAAAGGGUUCGCAGGCGGAAAUGCAAGUCAGUUGUGAAAGGCAGAGGCUCAACCUCUGUAAGCAAUUGAAACUGUAUUUCUUGAGAUGUGGAGAGGCAAGUGGAAUUCCUAGUGUAGCGGUGAAAUGCGUAGAUAUUAGGAAGAAUACCGGUGGCGAAGGCGACUUGCUGGGCACAAACUGACGCUGAGGAACGAAAGCGUGGGUAGCAAACAGG
This 403-nucleotide ribosomal RNA is filed under the name Fusobacteriota bacterium. RNAcentral's name for it is "Fusobacteria bacterium partial 16S ribosomal RNA". It matches the Rfam family "Bacterial small subunit ribosomal RNA", at positions 355 to 776 of the family's 1533-position model. Lineage: Bacteria; Fusobacteriati; Fusobacteriota. The record is from RNAcentral.